This 255-nucleotide long non-coding RNA is filed under the name Homo sapiens (human). RNAcentral's name for it is "HSALNT0107897". The record is from RNAcentral. Lineage: Eukaryota; Metazoa; Chordata; Mammalia; Primates; Hominidae.
UCAAUUUUUCCAGAUCUUGGAAGUACAUUCAUCAAUGUCUACUGCAGUUUUUAUCUGACAGAGAAGAAAAGCAAGCAUUAAAACAGUAAAUCAAGUUGGAUUUGAAAAAAACAGGAAGUUACUUUACAGUCCAAAUGACAACUACAUAAUUUAAUGAUAAGAGGUUUGUAAAACCACAUUUUAUUUUUGCUGGACAGUUUUAAAGGGAUGAAAAGCUGUCAGAAAAUUAUGCCAUCAGAAUUCCUGUAAACAAGG